This is a non-coding RNA of Salvia miltiorrhiza (redroot sage), 119 nucleotides long. The record is from the annotation of a RefSeq genome assembly. NCBI's taxonomy places the organism in Eukaryota, Viridiplantae, Streptophyta, Magnoliopsida, Lamiales, Lamiaceae.
UCUACGGCUUUUCUGGAGAGUAAGAACCCGAACCUAUUCCGACUUCGCUCUGUGCCCCUUUCUUUCGCCCUCUGUACUGAGUCUACCCGGGAGACGUGUCUCAGAGUUUAUCUUAUAGU